RNAcentral lists this ribosomal RNA (405 nucleotides) under Bacillota bacterium. RNAcentral's name for it is "Firmicutes bacterium partial 16S ribosomal RNA". It matches the Rfam family "Bacterial small subunit ribosomal RNA", at positions 355 to 776 of the family's 1533-position model. The record is from RNAcentral. Lineage: Bacteria; Bacillati; Bacillota.
UCGGGAAUUUUGCCCAAUGGACGAAAGUCUGAGGCAGCAACUCCGCGUGAGGGAUGAAGGCUCUCGGGUCGUAAACCUCUUUUCUCAGGGAAGAUCCAAGACGGUACCUGAGGAAUAAGCGACGGCUAACUACGUGCCAGCAGCCGCGGUAAUACGUAGGUCGCAAGCGUUGUCCGGAUUUACUGGGCGUAAAGAGCGCGCAGGCGGCUGGUCAAGUCCGAUGUGAAAUCUCCCGGCUCAACUGGGAAACUGCAUCGGAAACUGAUCGGCUUGAAGGUGGGAGAGGGUAGUGGAAUUCCCGGUGUAAUGGUGAAAUGCGUAGAUAUCGGGAGGAACACCAGUGGCGAAGGCGACUACCUGGCCCAUUCUUGACGCUGAGGCGCGAAAGCUAGGGGAGCGAACGGG